GAGGGUAUAGCUCAAGGUGGUAGACCGCAUGCUUAGCAUGCAUGAAGCCCUGGGUUCAAUCCCCAGCACCCUCU
This is a transfer RNA of Camelus ferus (Wild Bactrian camel), 74 nucleotides long. It matches the Rfam family "tRNA". From Rfam's summary of the family: Transfer RNA (tRNA) molecules are approximately 80 nucleotides in length. Their secondary structure includes four short double-helical elements and three loops (D, anti-codon, and T loops). Further hydrogen bonds mediate the characteristic L-shaped molecular structure. tRNAs have two regions of fundamental functional importance: the anti-codon, which is responsible for specific mRNA codon recognition, and the 3' end, to which the tRNAs corresponding amino acid is attached (by aminoacyl-tRNA synthetases). tRNAs cope with the degeneracy of the genetic code in two manners: having more than one tRNA (with a specific anti-codon) for a particular amino acid; and 'wobble' base-pairing, i.e. permitting non-standard base-pairing at the 3rd anti-codon position. NCBI's taxonomy places the organism in Eukaryota, Metazoa, Chordata, Mammalia, Artiodactyla, Camelidae. The record is from Rfam.